GGGCCUUUAGCUCAGUUGGUUAGAGCAGGAGACUCAUAAUCUCUUGGUCGUAGGUUCGAGUCCUACAAGGCCCACCA
RNAcentral lists this transfer RNA (77 nucleotides) under Pseudomonadota bacterium. RNAcentral describes it as "tRNA-Ile". It matches the Rfam family "tRNA". From Rfam's summary of the family: Transfer RNA (tRNA) molecules are approximately 80 nucleotides in length. Their secondary structure includes four short double-helical elements and three loops (D, anti-codon, and T loops). Lineage: Bacteria; Pseudomonadati; Pseudomonadota. RNAcentral also lists the same sequence under 2 other names. The record is from RNAcentral.